AGUGAACGCUGGCGGCAGGCCUAACACAUGCAAGUCGAACGAACCGCAAGGUUAGUGGCGGACGGGUGAGUAACACGUGGGAAUCUACCUUUAGAUGAGGGAUAACUCAGGGAAACUUGAGCUAAUACCGCAUAAUGUCGAAAGACCAAAGAUUUAUCGUCUAAAGAUGAGCCCGCGUUAGAUUAGUUUGUUGGUGGGGUAAUGGCCUACCAAGACUACGAUCUAUAGCUGGUUUGAGAAGAUGAUCAGCCACAUUGGGACUGAGACACGGCCCAAACUCCUACGGGAGGCAGCAGUGGGGAAUAUUGGGCAAUGGGCGAAAGCCUGACCCAGCCAUGCCGCGUGAGUGAUGAGGGCCCUAGGGUUGUAAAGCUCUUUCAGGGGGGAAGAUAAUGACGGUACCCCAAGAAGAAGCUCCGGCUAACUUCGUGCCAGCCGCCGCAGUAA
This 447-nucleotide ribosomal RNA is filed under the name uncultured bacterium. RNAcentral's name for it is "partial 16S ribosomal RNA". It matches the Rfam family "Bacterial small subunit ribosomal RNA", at positions 29 to 523 of the family's 1533-position model. The record is from RNAcentral.